UUUUCAAAGUUGGGAGUACAGCCUUCCCAUAGUUUUAUUGUGUGUUUACGCACGUUCCUGUAAUUUGGGAAUGGAUCGGGUUGCUUCCCACCUUUUACCACAAUUUGAGGGGAUUAAGCCUAGGAGUAGCCUGCCAAAGCAAAUUAAAUAAUUCAUGUUUCCAGCAUGACUUCAUUUAGUUGUGACUUUUAUUUAUUUAGAGAGAGUGAGAGAGAAAGAGCUGGUGUUGUUACAAUCUCAGUACUAUUUUUUUAAUCUCUGUAACCUCCUAUAACCCAACCAUGUAUUUUUUUUUUGACCUUUGAAAUGUACCACACUGCAUAAACUGAGUAUCCACUGUGUGUUCUGCUCAUCCCAGUAAUUUUCAUCCUAUGGUCUCUGCACGCUGUUAUUUUAGGUGUAUCUUUUAACAUUAUGCAAGUUAACAAGUUUGUAAAACAUUACCCCAAAUGCUGAGGGCACAUAGAGGGGGAAGAAGUACCAAAUCUUUUUUUCUUAUGUGUUGAGAAGCUCUGUAACUGAAAACCCUGACAAGUUAAAUGUUAGUAGGUGGGGACUUAUAGCCUAAAACUGGUGCCUAUAGAUGCUCACCUGUGGAAAGGGACUCCUGCAGCUGUGCUCAAUGUUCUUCCAGCUGCAGCUGAAUUUCUGCCACAUUAAGAGCCUUAAGCAGCUGCAGCAGUAUCACACUGAUCUAGCAUUUAGCUUCCCCAAAGCUCUGCUCAAAUAUUUGAACUCAGUAGAACCCCGUGCUUUGAGUAGGCGAGUGUCACUACAGCUUUACAGAAAAAGAAACAGCGACUGAGAGGUUAAACCAGCUUCCCCUUACCACACAGCAAGUCAAUGGUGGAGCUGGAAUUACAGCUUGGGAGGUUCCUGGCUCUUGCUGCACUACAAUGCUGUGUAGAAAGGUCAUUUCCCAAAAUAGUACUGAAAGUUCCCAUUUGUUAUUGAUAAUAGGGCAACAAAGGGCUCUAGCUGUAUUAAUAGGUCACUGUAUAAUGUCCUUAAUAAUCCAUAAUUAGCAACCCUGCAAAAAUGGCAGCAUUGCAUUUUUCUGAGGCGGUAUCACUUCCACAGUUAGUUUUGUCUACUCUCAGUAGGUAUUUUUAUUUUGUCUCUUCUAAAACCACUUUAUUUAAAGGAAACAGACACAUUCACAAAGUAGGCGUUAAAUAGCCUCCCUGUUAACUGUCAUGUUGGACCUCAUAUUGGACUCACCUUCAGAUCUGUUCAGCUCCUCUUCCUCUGUGAGUACGUGCUUGUCAUGGCACUGAAGUUUGACAGUCACUUUGAAGCUAUCAAGCAGACUUCUGUCUGCCUAGAAGAAAAAUACGGGCUGUUGGAGAAGGCUGUAUAUUACCUUCCAUACCUUCUGUAUACUACCUUCUUCUAGGAGGCUGAUAAUAGAGGGGUUUGGUGGCAACAUUUUCCCUGUGUUGUGUGACAGCAAGCUAGCACUGGCAUACUUGGGCAGUGUAGCAGCUGAGGUGCAAGCAUGGGAGCCCACAAAGGCACCAGGUUGGGUGUUCCCCAAGGCUUCCAGGAAGGAAGGCAAACCCCCAUCACCACACAGCAGGACAGGGGACAGGAAGAAGAGACGUCUUCAGUAAGUCCACUUCCACGACUGGGCCUGUGAAGAGAAGAUUGGAAGGAUUUAGCAGUCUCUCUGUAGAAGCAGGAUAAUUGAUUUGAACUUGUUAUGACACUGCAACUUGUGAUGACUCUUGGGCUGCCCUCUGCAAGAACAGAGCAGGAGGAGGCAAGGCACCUUCCCAGAAGAGCAACAGCACAAAGUUUGCAGUUCCAAUGAAAUGAUGUCUGAGAAGUGCUGGUAAAGAAGCGCAAGAGGAAAGAGCGUCUCUGUGUGAACACAGUCAACUUACCAUUCUAAUGUCAGCGCUGUAGAAGCCUUCCCUUCACAUAAGCAGUCACCAGCAAAACGAGGACCAGUGGAUUCAGCACACGAGCAGUAACAGCACUGCAUUCACUACCAGACAAAAUUACAGAAAACGCAUUCAAAGCCUGAAGAAUGAAAAAGAGAAAAAUGCAUUCCUCAUAUCGUGGCCGGAUUUACUGCACAGAAGCUCCGAGGGAAACCACCUAUUUCUACUUGCCUCACCCUCUGGAGAGCUCUGUCUGCAGCCUGGACACUGAAGCCCUGUGUCCACGUGGUGGUCCAGAAAUCUUCCCAAAACACAGAGUACCUGACCUGGCCAGUGACCUGAGCAUCGGUGUCCACAUCAUCAAAGAUGCAUUUUACUGCUUUGGAGCCUUCCACCUACGUGUUCAUCUAUCACCUCUGGCAAGCACACAGUAUUUAAAAAUCAAGAACUUCUUUUGUGCAAUAUGUAAUUAAGGCUUUGCUGGAAGCUUGUUUGCCGAAAGCCUGAGAAGGGCUUGCAAGCUCAAAAGUAUAUUGAGUGUAUGAAAUUGCAGUGCUCCAGAUACUAUAUAUCUUACUCCCUUCCCAACUUACUUUCACAAAGGUUUUAUUUGUGGCACCAGAACUCUUAUUUCUAGUAAGUCAGUUAAAAUAAAUGGUGGAAUCCUUCCAGAUACUGAAGUUCUUAAGUAAGAUAUGUCUUGCUAGUUAUCUAAGGGAUCUGUGAUCCUUAGUGGUCCUGCAGUCUUCAUUUGUCACUGCCAGCAUCACAGCAACCUGUCUGGUCUUAUUUUGGGAUUUAUCUUUUACUGUGAGCAGACUCAUCCACUAUUAGCCAGUGAUAAGCAACAGCUUUUUGGCAUAAAAACAAAAAUCUGUGCUCCCCAUAAAAAUAAAUAAGAAAAAUGUAUAUAAAUAAAAACAAGGUUCAGCUGAAAUUCCAAGCUGUUUUGCCUGACACCUUUGUGGGCUUUCUUUUAAUGACUUUUUGUAGCUAGUAAAGGCAGCAAGUGCUGCAAUACCAGUUCAGGGGCAUCUGUUCAGACAAACCCAAGUCCUCUUGCUUGUGUUCUGGCUGGCCAGAGGUGAGCCUGCACAGCCUGGGAGCUGUGUAGUGCUGGCAGCAGGGCCCUGUGCCCAAGAUACCGAGUUUGAAGCAUGAACAAAGGAAGGGCCUAUGUAACCCUGCAUCAGAUAGGAGAAGUUAUUUUGGGAGUUUUUAAUAACAACAGCAAUGCUCAAUAAUAAUAAUAAAAAAAAUUUACUACCCAAAUAUACAAACUGUAAUUCCACUUGCAAGGGAACUUGUACUUUUUAUUUCAUAAAUCUUGAAAACCUGCACACAAUCUGUCUGAAUGACACACACAAAAAAAAAAAACUGCACAGAGGAAGCACAAAACACCUCAUUGCUAAAUAAAACAACUUUACCAACUAAGUUACAGGCUCUUAUUUACUUAUUUUUUCUUAAUUUCUUCAGAACUAAUUAACAUUACUAUACAAUAUGGCAAAAGAUAGUCAAUGUUAUGGUACUUUAAAAUCAUUGAUAUGGGAUAAAAUAGAAACCAAAUGACUUUAUGUAUUAGAAGUGUAGUGCUUAAGUUGCUCUUUCUGAAGCCAUCGAGCAACAAAACUUGGAAGUAUUUCAAUAAAGAGUUUGCAUAACCCACAAAAAGAAACAUUAAUAUCAUGCAUUGAGUUAUUCCAAAUGCACGAUGAUAGGCGACAACACUUGAGAAGAUCACUGAGAACUGAUAAAGACGCUGUUUUUUGUGGCAAAAAAAAAAGAAAAAUCGAAAGAUUAAAAAGAAUAAAACCCAUGUUAUGACAAAGAUAAGGUAGGGGUACCCUGACUUCAAAGCACAUGUCCACUUCCCACCCUUGUUUCAAAAUCAACUCCUCUUACAACUUCACUUAUGAAACAGAGAGCUUCUGAUCAAACACUGAGGUUUGGGAUAAUCUUCAGCUGCAUUAUCAAGGUUUCAGAUUUGCUUUUACUUUAAACUCAAAACUUUAGAAACAACCAAGAAAACAGAAAUUUCCUUCCCAGGUCAAAACUUAAAUCAGUCUGUUUGUAAAUUCUGUGAAAGACAGCUGGAGUUGCAGAUUUUUAAUAAAUCCUAAAGCUGCAAUAAUUUCCCAGGCAUUUCUUGAAACACAUUAUUUUGCAAAAAUAAGGCCUUGAGCUGUAACAUUUCUGACCAGAAAGUAGUGGUCAUGGAAGAGUCCGUCUCUCUCACUGCACAGGCUCCAGCAGUUCCUUUAUCAUUCACAGUUACCACAGUGAAGAAAGUCAGCUUGAUUUCAUAACUCUACAUGAGAUAAUGCAAUAUGGUCCACAUGGAAACUGGUUUAUUUCUUAGACAGAGUUGAGACAUUGCAAGAAAGGGAAAGAAAUUAGCAGCAAAUUCCCCCAAAUUGUGUUUUUGAAAGCUUGUCUGCUCAUUGUCAACCAAUAGAGCUAUUAGUCCCCUGAGUAGCAAAAAGCUCCAUCAACAUAACUUUUUCUUAUUUAGAAAUAAUAGCUAUUAUAAAUAAAAGUUAAAUUUUGUAGCUAUUAUCAGAGAAAAAUUUUAUCAUGUGCUCCCUGUUGUCCUAUGCUUUAUUUUAAUAGAAUACUACAACAUCCCCCUGAAACUCUUCAUGAUAGCUGCAAGAUGCACUACAAUGAAUUUGCAUAAGCCCCCCUCCAAUUCACUCUGAAGCAGGUGGCCCUCACAUUUAGCUCCUCCAUUUACACCAUUUGUAACAUUUAUUUUGGGUGCUACGAUAGUGAAUACAAAUGAACUUAUGAAAGUAUAAUUUGCUCCUAUUGCCUAUUAUUUUUUAAACACAGUUGAUUAAUGUCUGUAUUGCCAAUUGGUUUCUACCCUUUGUGUUUCUUUCCUACAAUUCUGUUUAAGACACACUUUCUAAGAAACACUUUUAGACAUGAUUCAGUGACUGCCGUGCGUAUUUAGGACUGUUAUCCUAUGUGUAUAAAUUACUUUUUGUCACUCUGCCAAUUUCUACUUGCAAGUCCACCUGAAGUGGGGGCUUUUCUUCCACAGAGAGGAAGUAAUAACACAUUUAGGGCACUUUGCAGAGUCUAACACUUGUACUCCAUCCAGGAUUCAGAUACAAAUAAAGACAAAUUGGCCUUUUGAUUACAUUUUUCUUUUCGGCUCCCUGCAUCCUUUCUAGAGGAGUAAGGAGUUGUUUAGUAGGGGAAUUGUAAGCUGGUGACCAGAAAUACCAGUGGGGAGGAUGCAAAAAAAACCCACCAAACUCAAGCACAGGCUGAGUACCUCUUCCUGACCUGACUAAAUUAAGAUUCAAAACUCGAUGAAAGUAACUGCAAACAUCCAGCAAAAGGCACCUUGCUGCAUUUUCAGCGAGUUGCCAGGGGAGAGGUGCCACCCUGCACAGUACCUGGUUGCAGCUGUAGAAGAAAAACAAUUCUUGUGCUUUUCUUGCAAAUUUCACGAGCGAUAAGCAAUGAAUCUGCUAUUUCCUUGAAGCCCUUAACUCACUCUUCUUUAAGAGGAGAUUCACCUCUUCCCUCUCUUCCAUAAACAUGUAUCCCUCCUUCCUCCUGCACUGCAGGCUGCAUCCGCAGGGCACCGGGGCAGUCGGCAUUGACCAUGGCCCCAACAGGGCUGGACUAGAACAUCCAUGGACCAGCAGGGAAAUUUGCACCCUGAUUGAAACAGAGCUGUAGAAGAAAAAAGCCUCUUCUCUUGCUUUGAUAUUUUUUUCAACAAUGGUCUUAUUUUUUUUUAAGCUGUUCCAAUAGCCUGAUGAAUUUUGCAUUUAAUUUCCUCCUAGGCAGACAAAUAUCGUAGAAGACAACCUUGUACAAAAUGAGAUAGGUGAGGACUGGAGAGUCCCAAGGUAACUCUGAAAAGGAACGCCACAGAAUGAUGUGUUCCUAUUCCUCUUGCAGAGCGAGAAAAGUCAUUUUAAAACCUCAAUUUCUAUUUCAUGUUGGGCUUGCAUCUGGAAAAGUUUCCUAUUUGGUCUGUUUUACAAAAUAUUCUGCUAUUAAGACAGACAAAAGAGGACAUGAGACUCCAUAUGGGUUUGAAUAACAUGCAGAGCCUAAAACCCAGCAUGCUGAGCAUUUAUAAGCCAAAAGCCCCAUCUAUCAAGUCUCUUUCAGAAGGUUAUUUAAUCACCAUUACAGCUUUGCUACUGAAUUUCUAUCACAGAAUUGGAUCUGGAGGGGACCUCAGGAAGCCACUUUUUCCUCGCCCAAAGGCACACCUGCUACACACGAAGCAUACCUACCAGUCCUUACAAGUGCUUUUCUAACAUAAAAAAAAAAAACUCAAAAAACAAUUUAACAAUUUAAAAACAUUAAAAAAAAAAAAGCUCCUUUUUUGUGGUGCUCACCAUUCACCCAAGCAUGGAAUUUCGACCUCACUGACAUAACCACUGUUUUCCGGACUAUUUCUUCACUUCCUCAAGACAAGA
This is a long non-coding RNA of Anas platyrhynchos (mallard), 6337 nucleotides long. RefSeq lists it as uncharacterized. NCBI's taxonomy places the organism in Eukaryota, Metazoa, Chordata, Aves, Anseriformes, Anatidae. The record is from RefSeq and is a predicted model, not a curated record.